UGGACGAAAGUCUGACCCAGCGACGCCGCGUGCGGGAUGAAGGCCUUCGGGUUGUAAACCGCUUUCAGCAGGGAAUAAGCGCAAGUGAAGGUACCUGCAGAAGAAGCACCGGCUAACUAUGUGCCAGCAGCCGCGGUAAUACAUAGGGUGCAAGCGUUGUCCGGAAUUAUUGGGCGUAAAGAGCUCGUAGGUGGUUUGUUACGUCGGUUGUGAAAUUCAGGGGCUCAACCCCUGACUUGCAGCCGAUACGGGCAAGCUAGAGUUUGGUAGGGGAGACUGGAAUUCCUGGUGUAGCGGUGGAAUGCGCAGAUAUCAGGAGGAACACCGAUGGCGAAGGCAGGUCUCUGGGCCAAUACUGACACUGAGGAGCGAAAGCGUGGGGAGCGA
This 387-nucleotide ribosomal RNA is filed under the name actinobacterium SCGC AAA028-D06. RNAcentral describes it as "bacterial SSU rRNA". It matches the Rfam family "Bacterial small subunit ribosomal RNA", at positions 372 to 771 of the family's 1533-position model. The record is from RNAcentral. Lineage: Bacteria; Bacillati; Actinomycetota; Actinomycetes.